GACGAACGCUGGCGGCGUGCUUAACACAUGCAAGUCGAACGGAAAGGCCCUGCUUUUGUGGGUGCUCGAGUGGCGAACGGUGAGUAACACGUGAGUAACCUGCCCUUGACUUUGGGAUAACUUCAGGAAACUGGGGCUAAUACCGGAUAGGAGCUCCUGCUGCAUGGUGGGGUUGGAAAGUUUCGGCGGUUGGGGAUGGACUCGCGGCUUAUCAGCUUGUUGGUGGGGUAGUGGCUUACCAAGGCUUUGACGGGUAGCCGGCCUGAGAGGGUGACCGGCCACAUUGGGACUGAGAUACGGCCCAGACUCCUACGGGAGGCGGCAGUGGGGAAUAUUGCACAAUGGGCGGAAGCCUGAUGCAGCAACGCCGCGUGCGGGAUGACGG
RNAcentral lists this ribosomal RNA (385 nucleotides) under uncultured bacterium. RNAcentral describes it as "bacterial SSU rRNA". It matches the Rfam family "Bacterial small subunit ribosomal RNA", at positions 28 to 414 of the family's 1533-position model. The record is from RNAcentral.